Molecule: ribosomal RNA, 460 nt
Filed under: uncultured bacterium
Lineage: Bacteria
Description: partial 16S ribosomal RNA
Rfam family: Bacterial small subunit ribosomal RNA
Source: RNAcentral
CCUACGGGAGGCAGCAGUGAGGAAUAUUGGUCAAUGGACGAGAGUCUGAACCAGCCAAGUAGCGUGAAGGAUGACUGCCCUCUGGGUUGUAAACUUCUUUUAUAUGGGAAUAAAAUGUUCCACGUGUGGGAUUUUGUAUGUACCAUAUGAAUAAGGAUCGGCUAACUCCGUGCCAGCAGCCGCGGUAAUACGGAGGAUCCGAGCGUUAUCCGGAUUUAUUGGGUUUAACGGGAGCGUAGGUGGAUUGUUAAGUCAGUUGUGAAAGUUUGCGGCUCAACCGGAAAAUUGCAGUUGAAACUGGCAGGCUUGAGUACAGUAGAGGUGGGCGGAAGUCGUGGUGUAGCGGUGAAAUGCUUAGAUAUGACGAAGAACUCCGAUUGCGAAGGCAGCUCACUGGACUGCAACUGACGCUGAGGCUCGAAAGUGUGGGUAUCAAACAGGAUUAGAUACCCUUGUAGUC